Molecule: long non-coding RNA, 11074 nt
Organism: Mus musculus (house mouse)
Lineage: Eukaryota; Metazoa; Chordata; Mammalia; Rodentia; Muridae
Product: predicted gene, 36123
Exons: 3
Source: RefSeq, a predicted model, not a curated record
AACUGAACUCACUGGGUUAUGAAAACAUAAAAAGACAUGAAGUUGGGAGAGGAUUUGAAGAGAAUGAUGAGCUAAAUUUUCAUCCUUGAUCAUCUUGGAAAGAACAUUAAAUUCUCCAUAAGGUCAAGACCAAGGCCCACCAACUCACUAUCUGAACCAAGAUCUUUAUAUGAGCCAGGCUGAGGAGACAAAGUCUGGGAUUUGUAGUUAUCAAGUGGUAAUUGGAGAAGAGGACACAUGAAGAGGAAUCAGAUGCAAUGAAAGGGAACAGCGGAGCUGAUAUAUAACAAAGUACACUGGACCUGGUUUCUGCAUUCCAGUAUGCAUAGGAUUCAGAACACUAAAGAAGGACAUGGGAACCAGGAGGAUGGCUCAGCUCAUGACCAUGAGUGAUGUGCAAGUCCAAUGAUCCAAGUUUAGUUCCUGGAACUCACAGGAGAAAAAGGCAAGUAAAAAUAGAGGCAAAUGUUUCCUAUGGCGGGGAAACUUAUUUACUUACUAGAGAGAUGAUACUUAUAGAACUUUUAAAAGUAUGAGAGAAAAGUGUUCAAUGGAUAUAAACUAAAAUUAGAAAAUGGCCAAGAAUAACAAGGAAAACUUCAUCCUGCUGUUAGCCAAAUCAGUAUAAAGUUAAACAAGGUACCACAUAAAAGGAGAAUAUUUGAGAUUUGUGGACAUGAAACCAGGAAAGGGUGUAACAUUUGAAAUGUAAAUAAAUAAAAUAACCAAUAAAAAAGCAAAAGAAAAAUAUUUUUUUAAAAAGGAGAAAGGGGGUUUAUUCCUUUUAAAAUGAACUCCUUUGUAGAUUAUCAAAAGUAUCCAGAUAAUAUUACUAGGAAACAUACAAUGAGAUUCAAAUACACGAACAAAACCCAGAAUGGAUUAAGGGACAUAUGCAGUAAGUGUCUCAAGUACCUAAUGUUUAGGUUCAUAAAGCUAAAACUACUCAGAAACUUUUACCCAGGCCAAUGGUCCUGACAUUGAAAAUGUCUUCAAAGAUUUCUAAAUAGCAACAACAGGGUAAUUUUAUGAUAUGACAAAUAAAAUGUUAAGAUCAAAAGCUUCAGGCUAAACUGAGUUUAGUGGCAUUUGCCUUAAAUCCCAGUACCUAGGAGGCACAGACAAGCAGAUCUUUGUGAGGUCCAGUGCCUGAUCUAAGUAGCAAACCAGGCCAGUUUAUUAUCAAGAUAUAUAAGUAAUCUAGAGGUGACUUAAAGUACAAGAGAAAAUGUAUACAGAUGUAAUCAGUAUAUGCAAAUGCCAUACCAUAUUGCACAAAGAACUUAAACACUUAAGCACAUGGGCAUCCUUGGGAGUCUGGGGUGCUGUGGGAUGGGGGUGCCUCUCUCUGCAAAAUGCAAACUGCCAUGUAAAUGUUAAGAAGCCAGCAAUUAAUGGGCUGUCCUGAGCUACUCUACUUUGUACAACAGAAUAUUUUAAUUUUCUUAUACAUGAAUUCUAAAAUUACCCCUUCAGUCAUCAAAUAACCUAGAAGAAAUGUUACCAGUAGAUGAUGCAGAGACAACAUUUUACUGGGAGAGGAAGGGAAGCGAAGCAUAUGGUACAAACUCAGUCUAAAUGUGACUUUAACACAACUCAUAUGUCUCAGUGGCUUCCAACAAAGCAGAAGUUUCUUAGUGUAUAGAUCUAGUUAUUUCCUAAAGAAAAGGAAAAUAAAAAGGGAUCAAAGAAGUGGGGGCAGGAGCUUCGGAGAGGGAACAGCAAGUGGGACAAGCAAUAUGAAGGGGAAAAUGGGAAAACAGGGAGAAUUUAAUAGGAAAGGUAUGAGGAAGAACCUCACAGAAGGAGACAGAUGGAGGAGUCAUAAAUAACACUAAAGGUUUUUUCUUAGCCUUAGAGAAUUGUAUUUUAUAUUUACCUAAAACUAUACAUAAUAUGUAUUAGUGUAUGUGUAUGCCAUUUGUUUGUGUGUGUACAUGUAUGUAUAUACAGGUGAAGUUAUACAAAUUGUGUUUGUAACUUUUCAAUGACUCAGAUACCACUAAGGCAGAAAGUAGGCAAAUUUUUUUAUGUAAACAUUUUAUUAGGAUAAUAUCAUGAGUAUUCACUAAAUGUCAAUUCUUACAUCUUUUUUUUUAAAUUAAGUAUUUUCUUAUUUUACAUUUCCAAUGCUAUCCCCAAAGUUCCCCAUCCCUCCCCCCCACUCCUCUACCCACCCACUCCCACUGACUUGGCCCUGGUGUUCCCCUGUACUGAGGCAUAUAAAGUUUGCAAGACCAAGGGGCCUCUCUUCCCAAUGAUGACCAACUAGGCCAUCUUCUGCUGCAUAUGCAGCUCAGCUCGAGACACGAGCUGUGGGGGUACUGGUUAGUUCAUAUUGUUGUUCCACCAAUAGGAUUGCAGACCCCUUUAGCUCCUUGGGUACUUUCUCUAGAUCCUCCAUUGGGGGCCCUGUGUUCCAUCCAACAGCCCACUUCUGUGUUUGCCAGGCCCCUGCAUAGCCUCACAAGAAACAGCUAUAUCAGGGUCUUUUCAGCAAAAAUCUUGCUGGUGUAUGCAAUGGUGUCUGCGUUUGGAGGCUGAUUAUGGGAUGGAUCCCUGGGUGUGGCAGUCUGUAGAUGGUCCAUCCUUUCAUCUCAGCUCCAAUUUUAAACCAUGAGAAACUAAAGCUGUUAGGCUUUCCAUUGGAUUCGAUAUUUGGACAGAAAGAAAAGUCUAAAUGUAGGUAGUUCCCUGUCAUGAUGAUACACUAAAUUGCACUUAGCCCAGCUAUUAAGAACAAAGAAAGAAAGAGACAGAGAAAUGGAGGGAGGAAAAGAGAGAGGAAGGGAAGGAGGGGGAGAGAGAGAGAAAGGAAAGAAGGAAGUGCACAAAAGAGCUUGCAAAAUAGAAAAAGCCCUAUAGUCAUUUGUCAGACCAAUGACUGUGAAGUUUCUAUGACAGCCUGUGACAAAAUCAAGUUAGAAAUUCUGUCCCAUCUCUUUGCUUCCUUUUCUUAAACCUAUCAAAGGUCAUUAGUGUUUAUUAUUAUUUGUUGAUCUACUUUAUCCUGCCUGUAACUUGUGAUUGUGACACAUAUAUUCCCACUCACUGAAAAGACAAUGUCAAUUCAACAUAAAGGAAAAAACUGUGUUGCUCCCACUGUUUGAAUACCGAACCUUAAACAUGGUUCUUUGAAUCUUUUAGUGUCUUAAUUAGUAAAAGGGCAAAUCAUUUGUAAGUUGAGAAAUUACCAUCUAAUUUCCAUUUAACCCCUUCACCAUAAAAUAAAUUCAGAUUUAUAGGGAUUCAGCAUACCCUAAAAUUACAUUCCUGUGCAAAAUGAAAACUAGAUCAAACAUUGCUUUGAUAAGCAGGCUUUUCUCCAGUUACCCAACAGGUCCAGGAUGAAAAGAUAACAAAAUUGAAUUGAAAUUCUAAAAUUGAAGGCCAAACAUGACAAACGGGUUUGGAGUCAAUCAUGCAGAGGUAACUGCUCUCAGGUACCCAAAGGCAGCUGUGAUCUGAACAGGUUUUGGGAACAGGCCAGUCAGCAGCCAGCUUUUCAAACCUCCCAGCAUGCCAGGUGAUACUAGUAUCUACAAACAGAUGAAACAAAUUAAAAACUACCAUCUUGCCAGGUGUGGUGGCUCACGCCAUUAAGUCCCAGCACUUGGGAAGCAAAGGCAGGCAGAGCUACAUGAGUUUGAGUCCAGCCUGGUCUACAUAAGGAGUACCAGGAUAACGAAGACUACAUACAUAGGUGAAAACACACACACACUCAUACAUAGCAAGGUCCCGUCUUGAAAAACAAACCAACAACAACAACAACAAUAACAACAACAACAACGAAAACACCUACAAUCUCCAUAAGAUCUUUCUGAGUUAAGCAAGAAAAGUAAAGCUAGCAAGCAAAGUACAUUUUUCUCUUUGGGUUGCAUGUGGCCAUUGGGGUUAUGUAAUCCCAUUCAGACUGUCCGAAGCCUGCUGCUUCAUUUUUUUCAUGACUUCUCUUUCCAUCAUCACAGGCUCUGGUAGCAUAGUUAAAUGCUAGGACAUAUAUGCUGGUCCAGAACUGAUUGGCUCUUGCUGGCCACCUGAUCAAAACUAAGCCAACCAGAGUCUCACUGCCAGGACCAGGAACUGCGAUACUGCUUGGCCUCCAGUAAGCAGUGGAAAGGCCAUGUUCCAAUGUUCGAAUAGAGAAAGAGAAAGAGCAACUUUGCAGAAUCAAGCUGAAAGCAGACCCAACAAAGAAUAUGAACUAAGAGACAAACUGAGUGGAGAGAGACCAUACAUAGCUGCCAUCUUCCAAACUUGACCAUACCCUCCCUUUCCUUUGUAAUACCCCAUCCCUCCAAUGCCAAUGGAUUCCAUGAGGUUCCCUGAGGAUCACACCUCUAUUUACAACACAAAAUUUUCCAUCUUCAUUCAAGAUAAUGCUAAUUUUCAUGUACUUACAAAUAAGGGACACCUAACAUUAAGGUGUCCAACCUAAGUACUGCCAGGCUUGAGCCACACAGCUCUCUUAAGUGUUCCUCCACCUCAGUCGGUUUGGUCUUCCAGGUCUCCCUUCUGAGUUCCUUUCCUCUUUGUCCCACCUGGUGCCAGCUUGGACCUGAACACUGGGGUUCACAUCUCAUCUGCCUCCUCAAGCUACAUAGACUGUGCUUCAGUUUCUUUUUCCAUAGUUGAGGAGACUAAGGCUCCUCACCUCACACAGCGAUGAUAGGUGAAAACACACACACACUCAUGCACACAUGCUCACAUCUCCACCCCUGCCACAGACACACACCACAAGCUCUCAUUCCAGCCCUCCGGCACUGAGCUUGACAGACUUCCAGAGCCUUCCAACUGGGAUAAAAGUUACUAGUGACACCCACUUUAACCUCUGUCUGCCUGUGGUACCCUUAUUUUUUCCUCCUAGAAGGCCCUGCUCACUCUCCAGCUUCUUUUCCACAAAUGUAAAAUUACAUUAAGGGAGAAAAAAAGUUGAAAAAAAAAUAUGUUUUCUUCACUAGUUGAAAAGACGACAUGAAUGUAUGUAAAAAGAAUAAUAAAAAAAAUAGUGUUGUAGAGAGGAACCAUUAUAGUUCCUUAGAAGAGUAUGUUGAGCAUAGUAACGUGCAUACAUGCACACACAUAUGCAUAUACCUGCAGACACCUCAGGUUGAUGUCAGGUGUCUUCGUCCAUCUUAUUUUUUGAAAGAAGGUCUCACACUAAGCCAGGAACUCAACAAUUCUGUUAGACUAGCUGUCCAGUGAGUUCCAGGAUCUUCUUGUCUCUGCCUCCUCAGUGCCAGGAUUAUAAGCACACUGCAGAAGGCACGAUUCUUACAAUGGCUGCCUCGGAUCAAACAUCCACAUACUUAUACAGCUCGUGCUUUAUAGACUGAGCCACUUCCAGAGCCUUAGACGGUGCUUUAAUAACAGAGGGAGCAUAUGACUUAACAGAUGCAUAUAGAGACAGUUACACAAGUUAACUACAGGUAUUGAAUGGUCUCAGAUGUUCUUUUUUGAUGUUUAAUGAACAUCUGCAGAUGUUGCACUUGAAGUGCAUGGUGCAAUGACUUUUGAAAUGUGACAACUCUGCAUACAAGGUAAAUUAUAAAUCUGGAUAGUUUUUCUCAAGCAUUUUAUCAUAUGUGUCAACUACAUAUGAAUCAUGUGUUAUCUAAUGUUUGCUUUUAACUGAAUAUUAGCAUGAAAGAUAAAAGAACCUAAAUUAUUUUAAUUGCUGUUCAAAUUAAAAAGCUCAAGUUUCAGAGUCUUGGUUACUUUUCUUGUUUCUGUGACUAAAAUCCACCAAUAAAAGCAACUUAAAGAAGAAACGACUGAUUAGGUUUUUGCUUGAUGUUUGCUUGCUUAACGUACAGCUCCAAUAUGGUCUAUUAAUGCAGGGAAUUUACAACAGCAGGAAAUUCAACAGUCCCAUUACAUCUGCCAGGAAGCAUACAGAAUCAAAUGCUUAUGCAUAGCUCACUUUCUCCAUUUUAUAUAGUCCAGGGCCUAAGCCCAGGGAAUGGUACUACCCAUAAUGGGAAGAUAGGGAAUGGUACCACCCACAGUGGGCAGCCAGUAAGUGGUACCACCCACAAUCAGCAGGUCUUCUCACUUCAGUUAUCCUAACCAAGAUAAUCUUCUAUAGGUAUGACUGGAAGCCCACCUCCCAGAAUAUUCUAGAUUUCAUCAAGUAGACAUCUGUGAUUAAUCAUCACAUACAGGCACUAAACUCAAAACACUUGUCCAUUUGUGAUAUUAUUCUCCAGCAAGAAGACUUCUCUUUUAAGUUCCAGCCUGUAUUUAACAAGCUAUGUUUUUUAGCAUUUACUCUAGAACAUUCAUCAUUGAUCCACUGGCAAAAUAAUGACAAGGAGAUGGUUAUACCACUAUGUUCUUAUUCUUACAUACAGCCUAGGGCUAAAUUAACUGCUAAAUUAACAGUUUACUAGAUUCUGGUACAAAAGGCUCAAUCAAAUACAUAGUUUGGCAACCUAUUAAAUCAACAAUAAGAGAAUGGUCAAUGGAAUUUUAACCCAAAUUAAGCUCACCUUUCCUGUACAAUAAUAUAAUGUGCUAGUGAAGAUUGGGAGGAUCAAUAAAGCUGACAGUCAAAGGGAAGUGCAAUUGAGCUGUGGCAAAGGGCCUGGUGCUUGCAUAGAUAUUGGCUACUUUUCAAUUCUGUCAUCCCCAUGCCUUUCAACCUAGUCAGGUCAUCUCCUUCCUAAGCCAUGUCUCUGUCAUCAGUAAGCAGAGACCAAUGACUGCACACACACACCGUGGUGCUGUGCAGAGGAUUACAUACACUAACAUCCCUAAAGCAUUCAUUAGAGAUAAAGCUGGCAAGACCAGAGAGUAAAUAUCGUAGGUUCUGCAGAAAAUACUCCACUCAACUUAAGAGCAGCCACAGGUAAUAUGGAAACAAGCAGGUAUGGCUACAGUCCACUAAUACUUAACUUCUGCACUCAAGUUUGAAUUUCAUAAUUUUUUUCCUGUCAUAAAACAACUCUUGAUUUUUGGUUUUGUUUUGGUUUUUGUUGUUGUUUUUGUUGUUGUUUGGGGUUUUUGGGUUUUUUGUUUGCUUGGUUUUUUUGUUUUUUGGUACAACUUAGAAAUGUGAAAGUGAUUCUUGGCUUACAAGGCACAUAAAUACAGGCACUGAGCCUGUCCUAUGGCAAAUACAGAGAAGAAUCCAGCAUUUCUACUGAUGAUAACUGAGAACAGAAGGGAUUUCAGUGCUGUCAAGAAUAAGUCAUUUUCUAAACUGAGUGCUUUGUUACUUCUUUCCUACCGUUUAAAUUGCCACUGAAGGGACAUUAUAAAAACAACUGGAAGGUGGAUUCCUGUGAGGUGAUAAAUACACCUUUCAGAGAGCUGAGGCAGGAGUAGAGAGGACCUCUCAUUUCACAAUAGCCUCCAUCUUCAGGAAGUCUAAUCCCCAAAGCAGCUGGGGAUGUGACUUCAGAUGCACCAUGCUAUCUAACAUUUAAAAAGGAAGCAUCAGAACAGUCACAACAGAAAGGAAAGAGCAACAAGGGUUUUAAUUUUAAAAGACAAAUGACUGGAACACCAUUUCUUAUCUACAAAUGGGUUUUACUAUCUUACUUUCAAACAUAUUCCUGUAAGUCACCAAUGAGUUGAGAAUGUUGGGAGUUCUUCAGGGCAAGAAAAAAAAUAGUUCUUUCAUUUUUCUAAAAGCAUAAGAUGGGUUUACAGCAGCUCCUAAAUCUUAUAGGGCAGUGAACUGGAUAACCUUAUGGGGUAAGAGAAAAUUCAUUUAUAAUUUUUUCAUGUUGGAUAAGCACAUCUUAUAUCUACAAUUAAAAGCUAACAAUUUUUUAUCCAUAACAAACAGAAUUCCAAGACACACACACACAUAAAAUAAUGACUUGGGUUGGUGUUUCAAGUCUCAGAGUCAGCUGUCACCACCCUGCUACAGAUAGCAGCUAUGUUCUAGGGGAACACAGUGGCAACCAUGUCAAUACAAGUACAGCAAAAAGAAAAUUAUAUUCUUCUUUAUUGGUAACAAAGUCUCCAGUCUAAGCCAACCCAGAUCAAUGAACAGAAUCAAGAAAAAGGAGGCAGAUGGGGAGACAAAGAAGUUUAAGUGCUAUCAUCAUUAAGGUAUUGAUCCAUGGAUAAUGCUUGAUAAUGGAGAGCGGUUAGAUAAUUUGGCAAUGUAUCAAGGUUAACAUGCAUAUUUGGAGUGUCUCCAAGGGAGUAUCCCCCAAUACAGUUUGGAUCUGAAGUGUCCCCCACAAAGCUCAUGUGUUGAAGUAUUGACCCCAAUGUAGCAAUGUUUACAGGUAAGGCUUUGGGUAGUUUGCUGGAUCACAAAGGCUCUGGUACCAUCUGAAGAUUAAUCCAAUGGUGGAUUCAUCAUUUAAUGGACUAUUGGGAGGUAAUAGAAUCAGGAGCUAUGACCGAGUUGAAGAGAGUGUUUCCUUUGUGGUAUUCACUGAGGAACUCUUUCCUUUUCUAGUUCUCUUCCUCUCCCUCCUACCCUCUCUUUCAACCAAUGUGAUAUUAGUCAAGCCACUCUACCUACUAUACUUUCCCUCACUAUGAUGCUCUGUUUUACUGGAGGAGGUGGCAAAAGAGCAAAGUGAUCAUGGGCUGAAACCACAAGCCAAAACAAAUUGUCUGUCCUUUAAGACACUCUCCAUCAGAUAUUUUGUCAUAGCAAUAGAAAGUAACCCAGCUGCUGAAUCAGAUUGGUUAAUUCCUGAUGGUGUUAGGUCUCAGUUCCACAUGCAUCCUCCAUAAGUAUUACUCUUGGAGCCAUAUUUACAAGUAUGGUUCCUCAUAAAAGUAAGUGUUAAGUGCUCCCCUCUGGGAAGUUCUCAUGGACAAGAUUUGCAGUUUUACAAAUUGGAAGCACCUUGAAGCCAUAGAGGAGUCCAUGAUGAAAUGUGAGCUUCAACAAAGAUCCAUUUACCUGUGGAAGAAGAGCCAUGCUCUCAGAAAUCAUAGAAGUUGCUGGUUCUUUUGAAAAUGAGGGUUUCAAAGUUAACCCAAAUCCUGAUUAAAUACUGACUCAUUGGUCUCCUUUCCUACACUUCUUUUGCAUUUCAGUAACUCUCAGCGAUAUUUGUCAUUCUAGAAAAGAGAGUUAAUAAAAAGUCUGACAGCAAACCGCCCAGCAGAGUCAAAAUUACUUCCUUUCCUAUAAAUGAUUUGUCUAAGGAGAUGAAUCACAUCGGUAUGAAAAGAGUUCUAAAUGGGAUAAGGUAUUUAGAGAAAAAAAAGUAGAAAAUUUGAAUUAAUAAACAUUUUAAUAUAAGUUCUACAGGGACAGAUUAGGAGAUUGUAAUUGAUCAUUGCUUAAACAUGAACCUGGUAUUUUAUUACUACCUUAAGAUCAUGGAGCUGCAGUCCUGAAAGUGGAGAUGACGUCAUGACUAGUAUGUCCAACUCUAAUCUGUAUCCUUAGCAUCCAUGAGGCAACAGAGCAAAACACUGCGAAGGGUAAUGUGAAAAUAAUGCAGAUAACCACUCUAAAGGCAGGUAUAAUAUAGGGACAAUGUGGAUGUUAGUUCCCAAAAUUGUUCCUCAUGCUUUUAUACUUUUCAGAAUUUAAAUUUUUAUUGUUUUGAGAAUUUUAUAGUUAAGUAUUGUAUUAAUAUUAUUCCCACCCCUUCGUCUUUACUUCCAAUUCCUUUUAUGUUCCCUAUAACUCCUUCUCAAGUUCAUGACCUCUUCUGUAAUACUCUCUCUCUCUCUCUCUCUCUCUCUCUCUCUCACACACACACACACACACACACACACACAUUAUUGUUAUAUACAUGUGUUUAGAGGGGACCACUGAUAUUGGGUAAUCUAUCAGGGGGCUCAACAUCCCUGGAGAAGAAGAUGAAUCUCUUCUUAGCAGCCAUUGAUUGCCUAAAGUUCUUCACUUAGGGGUAGGGCCUUGUGAAUUUCCUCCUAUCUGUGGUGGUAUGACAGCUUGUACUAUCAUUGUGCGGGCUUGUUCAAGCAGCCAUGUUGUUGAAAUUUCAUGGGGCAGCUUCCCUGUCAUAUAUAAAAGACACUAGCUAGCACCAGGUAUUCUAAUCAUCUCAAGCAUACUAUCCUCUCAAUUUUGUACAAUGCUCUCCAAGCUUUAGGUGUCGGAGUUGUAUCGUGGAGGUAUGAAUUAGGGCCAGCCAUUCUUUGUUUACUUAUUCUCUAAAUUUUUAGCAGUUGUGGAUCUCUGUGGCCGUCUCUGUCUGUUCCAAAUGAAGCUACUUUGAUGAAAGGUUAGAGCUACAUUUAUGUGUGGGUAUAAGGAUAAGUAUUCAGACUAUAGUAGUUUUUCCAAUGCUGAAUGCAGACUCUAAAAAUAAAUCCUGACUGUUAUCAGUUAUAUAGCCUAUAUUCAUCACUCCUAAGUAAAGUGAAUAGCCUGGAUGGCUCAGUAAUACCUGGAAGUAGGGCUGUGGAGAGACAUCUAAAUGAGUAGGUACCAGCGUUCUAAUGAGAGCUGAAAAGCUAAUUGGUAUCUCUCAGGAGAUUCUCAGCCCUUCUCACCUUCUCCCUCAAGUACCAUCGCCACCCAAGCAGAAGCUCUCCCAUCCCAGAGGCCUUGCAAAAUCUCCCUCUUCCUCUCCCUCCUCUUCCCCUCUCCUUCCCCUUUCCCUCUCCCUCCUCUUCCCCUCUCUCAUUCCUUCUCUCUGACUCUUCUUUCCCUUCCCCAUCUUAAAUGCUCCAGAAGCUACUCUCAGCCCCACAACUCUUACUCCCUGGGUGGUUUCCUCAAGUCCCACAGGUUUAACCAACCCCAAUGUUUGAUAAUGACUUUAUCUACAUCUCCAGCACCACCUUAACUCUGCUCUCCAGUUCAGAGUACCCAACCUCAACAACUGCAUCUUCCUGCGCUAGCCAUGACCUUUCAUCCCAUUUCCUGUCUCAUUUUAUGGCAGCCCAAGACAGAGGCUCAGCUACUGAGCCGUCCUUUCCCCUGACUUGGCCUUCAAUUACGUUACGUGCUUUUCUCAUAGGCCAGAACUGUCCCAUCCCAUAUCCUGAGCUUUGUUUCCAAAAUUCAAGCCAAUGAUCCAAGCCAGGGUUUUCUGCUGCUGUGAGAUAACUUAAGUAUUUAAGUAUUGUUGUAAUCUUUAAUAAAUGAAUAAAUGCAACUUGUGCUAGCAAGAGG